RNAcentral lists this ribosomal RNA (447 nucleotides) under uncultured bacterium. RNAcentral describes it as "bacterial SSU rRNA". It matches the Rfam family "Bacterial small subunit ribosomal RNA", at positions 331 to 795 of the family's 1533-position model. The record is from RNAcentral.
CCAGACUCCUACGGGAGGCAGCAGUGGGGAAUAUUGCACAAUGGGGGAAACCCUGAUGCAGCGACGCCGCGUGAGUGAAGAAGUAUUUCGGUAUGUAAAGCUCUAUCAGCAGGGAAGAAAAUGACGGUACCUGACUAAGAAGCCCCGGCUAACUACGUGCCAGCAGCCGCGGUAAUACGUAGGGGGCAAGCGUUAUCCGGAUUUACUGGGUGUAAAGGGAGCGCAGGCGGCGCGGUAAGUCUGAUGUGAAAGCCCGGGGCUCAACCCCGGGACUGCAUUGGAAACUGUCGUGCUGGAGUGUCGGAGGGGCAAGUGGAAUUCCUAGUGUAGCGGUGAAAUGCGUAGAUAUUAGGAGGAACACCAGUGGCGAAGGCGGCUUGCUGGACGACAACUGACGCUGAGGCUCGAAAGCGUGGGGAGCAAACAGGAUUAGAUACCCGUGUACAC